GACGUAGGGGGCCAGCGUUGCUCGGAAUUACUGGGCGUAAAGGGUUCGUAGGCGGUGCGGCAAGUCGGGAGUGAAAUCUCUGGGCUUAACUCAGGGGCUGCUUCCGAAACUGCCGUGCUUGAGUGCGGGAGAGGCGAGUGGAAUUGCAGGUGUAGCGGUGAAAUGCGUAGAUAUCAGGAGGAACACCGGUGGCGAAGGCGGGUCUCUGGGCCGUAACUGACGCUGAGGAGCGAAAGCGUGGGGAGCGAACAGG
Molecule: ribosomal RNA, 253 nt
Filed under: uncultured bacterium
Lineage: Bacteria
Description: partial 16S ribosomal RNA
Rfam family: Bacterial small subunit ribosomal RNA
Source: RNAcentral